Molecule: ribosomal RNA, 253 nt
Filed under: uncultured bacterium
Lineage: Bacteria
Description: partial 16S ribosomal RNA
Rfam family: Bacterial small subunit ribosomal RNA
Source: RNAcentral
UACGAAGGGGGCUAGCGUUGUUCGGAAUUACUGGGCGUAAAGCGCACGUAGGCGGAUUGUUAAGUCGGGGGUGAAAUCCCGGGGCUCAACCCCGGAACUGCCUUCGAUACUGGCGAUCUCGAGUCCGGAAGAGGUUAGUGGAAUUCCCAGUGUAGAGGUGAAAUUCGUAGAUAUUGGGAAGAACACCAGUGGCGAAGGCGGCUAACUGGCUCGAUACUGACGCUGAGGUGCGAAAGCGUGGGGAGCAAACAGG